GUAUAUAACUAGUAAACCAGCUCUCAAUUAAUUUAUAUUUUCUGCUACAUCUUUAUGGUGAAACUCGACUGUGUGUUAAUGGUCCUCAGAAGAUUCUAGACAACACUGAUGCUCUACUUAUUAUUAAAGGUAAAACUCACCCUAUUGAAGAGGACAAGCUUAAGAUCUAUGCACUGACUUAGUACCACUUAUCCCAAUUUUCACUUAACAAGGGCGCUUAUGCAAGACUUCUCCAGAAAGUGCCAAGUUUCUGCCAAGGGAGGCAGUGAGAGCUCCAGGAUCCCUCCACAGCCAAAGCCAACGUGCGACAAGGGCAAUCCCCUCCAGGAGUUCCAUCUAGUGAGAUCAGACCAAUUCUAUCUCCGUGCAAGCCUGAGGAUCGUGGAUGAAAGGAGCUGUGACUGAGUGCAAAGGCCUGGAAUGGAGCUGCAAGCCUGCACAGAAACCGAGCUAUUCCUCUGGAAAAGCUGAACUUCCACAUGUGCAGGUGAGCUCUUGGAGGUCUCAGUGACCACCUGCACAAUUAACUGCUGCAUCUACAAGAGUAUUUUUUGACAAGAUGGGUUUGUGUAAUUCUUAAAAUCAAAGCAUCAGAAGGCAUGGCAAAAAGUCUGAUUUACAAUACCACGGGAGUAUUUCGUGUGGUUGGGCCAACACGGAGGAAACAGCAAUUGCAAUGUUAGCAGUGAAUGAUAGCACAGUGCAGCUAAGAAUACAUUCAGCAAGCUGAGAUCCUCUUUUAACACUGACAAAAAAGAGAAAAAAUAUAAAAUGUGUGUCUGUGUGUGUACAU
Long non-coding RNA from Pezoporus occidentalis (night parrot), 793 nucleotides. RefSeq lists it as uncharacterized. NCBI's taxonomy places the organism in Eukaryota, Metazoa, Chordata, Aves, Psittaciformes, Psittacidae. The record is from RefSeq and is a predicted model, not a curated record. The transcript is spliced from 3 exons.